AGCCUCAGUACGGCGAGUGAGCGGCAACAGCUCAAAUUUGAAAUCUGGCCGCAAGGUCCGAGUUGUAAUUUGCAGAGGAUGCUUUUGGCGAGGUGCCUUCCGAGUUCCCUGGAACGGGACGCCAUAGAGGGUGAGAGCCCCGUACGGUUGGACCACCGAGCCUCUGUAAAGCUCCUUCGACGAGUCGAGUAGUUUGGGAAUGCUGCUCUAAAUGGGAGGUGUACGUCUUCUAAAGCUAAAUACCGGCCAGAGACCGAUAGCGCACAAGUAGAGUGAUCGAAAGAUGAAAAGCACUUUGAAAAGAGGGUUAAAAAGUACGUGAAAUUGUUGAAAGGGAAGCGUUUAUGACCAGACUUGGGCUUGGUUGAACAUCCGGCGUUCUCGCCGGUGCACUCUGCCAGUCCAGGCCAGCAUCAGUUUGUCCCGGGGGAUAAAGGCGGUGGGAAUGUGGCUCCCCCGGGAGUGUUAUAGCCCGCCGUGCAAUGCCCUGGGACGGACUGAGGAACGCGCUUCGGCACGGAUGCUGGCGUAAUGGUCAUCAACGACCCGUCUUGACACACGGGACCA
This 567-nucleotide ribosomal RNA is filed under the name Sarocladium oryzae. RNAcentral's name for it is "partial 28S ribosomal RNA". It matches the Rfam family "Eukaryotic large subunit ribosomal RNA", at positions 73 to 664 of the family's 3401-position model. The record is from RNAcentral. Lineage: Eukaryota; Fungi; Ascomycota; Sordariomycetes; Hypocreales; Sarocladiaceae.